GCCUUCUGUCUGAAUAAUGUUUAUAACAAUUGUUAAAACUUUCAACAACGGAUCUCUUGGUUCUCGCAUCGAUGAAGAACGCAGCGAAAUGCGAUAAGUAGUGUGAAUUGCAGAAUUCAGUGAAUCAUCGAAUCUUUGAACGCACAUUGCGCCUCCUGGUAUCCGGGAAGCAUGCCU
RNAcentral lists this ribosomal RNA (177 nucleotides) under Otidea onotica. RNAcentral describes it as "5.8S ribosomal RNA". The stretch from base 37 to 177 matches the Rfam family "5.8S ribosomal RNA". Rfam says of the family: 5.8S ribosomal RNA (5.8S rRNA) is a component of the large subunit of the eukaryotic ribosome. It is transcribed by RNA polymerase I as part of the 45S precursor that also contains 18S and 28S rRNA. The record is from RNAcentral. Lineage: Eukaryota; Fungi; Ascomycota; Pezizomycetes; Pezizales; Pyronemataceae.